AAACUUACCAGGUCAAGACAUGGGCGUGAUUGACAGGCUAAUGACUUUUCUCGAUUCCAUGGAUGGUGGUGCAUGGUCGCACUUAGUUGGUGCAGUGAUUUGUCAGGUUUAUUCCGGUAACGAACGAGACCUCGGCCUUGUAAAUAGCUAUGCUGCUUACAGGGACAUUGGCGGCUACGCCAAGGAAGCUCGAGGCAAUUGCAGAUCUGGAAUGCCCUUAGAUGUCCUGGGUCGCACGCGUGCUACAAUGACGCCACGAACGAGCUUGCGUGAUGAAAGUUACGCAUAAUCAGCAGUCGGCGUCUUAAGGGAUAGUCUCUUGUAACUGUGGGACUCCAACUAGGAAUGUCUCGUAAGCACAAGUCAACAUCUUGUGUUGAUUACGUCCCUGCUCUUUGUACACACCGCCCGUCGCUCCUACCGAUCGAGUGUUUAGGUGAAUUUGAUGGACGUAAGGAAGUCAAAUAAACCUGAGCACUAGAGAAGAGAAGUCGAGAAUC
Molecule: ribosomal RNA, 500 nt
Filed under: uncultured Myrionecta
Lineage: Eukaryota; Ciliophora; Litostomatea; Cyclotrichida; Mesodiniidae
Description: bacterial SSU rRNA
Rfam family: Eukaryotic small subunit ribosomal RNA
Source: RNAcentral